Molecule: microRNA precursor, 78 nt
Organism: Medicago truncatula (barrel medic)
Lineage: Eukaryota; Viridiplantae; Streptophyta; Magnoliopsida; Fabales; Fabaceae
Rfam family: MIR5286 microRNA precursor family
Source: Rfam
AACAACUCUAGUUGUCCAGUGUUUGAUUUGUAAAACUGUUUCAGAUACAGGACAAACUGGAGGCAAGGGACAUGACAA